Molecule: small nuclear RNA, 22 nt
Filed under: Arabidopsis thaliana (thale cress)
Lineage: Eukaryota; Viridiplantae; Streptophyta; Magnoliopsida; Brassicales; Brassicaceae
Description: snRNA_13683
Source: RNAcentral
CGAUUAAAUCUUCAACUACGCG